This is a non-coding RNA of Cymbomonas tetramitiformis, 72 nucleotides long. NCBI's taxonomy places the organism in Eukaryota, Viridiplantae, Chlorophyta, Pyramimonadophyceae, Pyramimonadales, Pyramimonadaceae. The record is from the annotation of a GenBank genome assembly.
GCUCCGAUAGCUUAGUGGUAGAGCAAAUGGGCGACAACCAUGAGGUCACCGGAUCGAAACCGGCUUGGAGCA